AACAUCGCGCACCUGCGGGAACCUGCGGAAGGAUCGUUACAGAGUUGCAAAACUCCCUAAACCAUUGUGAACGUUACCUAAACCGUUGCUUCGGCGGGCGGCCCGGGUCCUUCCCGGCGCCCAUCGGCCCUCGCGGGCGCCCGCCGGAGGUAAACCAAACUAUUGCAUUGUAUGGCCUCUCUGAGUCUUCUGUACUGAAUAAGUCAAAACUUUUAACAACGGAUCUCAGAUCGGAAGAGC
This 240-nucleotide unclassified non-coding RNA is filed under the name soil metagenome. Its description in RNAcentral is "partial contains 5.8S ribosomal RNA, internal transcribed spacer 2, and large subunit ribosomal RNA". The record is from RNAcentral.